UUUAAAGUGCCGAUGAAAGUGGUUACAGCUCACUCAAGCAGCUUUGUGAGAGCGCUCCCAGGUUUCUGGGGGUAGCUCCCAGCUGGGAGGUGCUGAUGGACGCCUGUGCAGAAGAACAUCUUGAGCCAGCUCAGCCCGGAGUGCUGGAUGAGGAUGUCUGUCACUGGACAGCUAAUCCAGCAGAGAGAAUGUGACCAAAACAGCUUCUCCAACAGUCCACUGAACCAGAUAAAGGAUUUUGCUCCUGAAAAGCUCUUCCUGUUGGCCACAUUCUAAUAGGAUCUGACACAGCUCUGCAGGUACAGCUGAACCCAAUCAUCCUGACAAUACCUGAGAUACACAGGAAAGACCGCAGAACUUGGAGUAGCUGAGGCAUUACCUUCUUUUGUUCAUAUGAAAAUGAGUAUGGAGCAAAACAUCAUCCAUCCACCUAAAAAACCAACAUCCAUCUAAUUCCAACUCCCAGCAAAGCCCUGGGGCAUGCAACAGCAUGGUACCAAAGGGAUUACCAGCGGCUCAGACCUACAGACAAGAUGCACAGACUACAGCAGAUGAUGUCUUGCUGCUCUGCUUAUCCCAAAGGUAUGCUUGGGCGAAUUCAGAAGCUGCUGCUUGGAUGCACUCAUUUUAAAGUUGUGAUUUUUGGAACAUUAAGAAAAACCCCAAGCUGGUUCAGACUGCUCUUGUGUUGUUCUAAGUCCAACUCAUCAUUUCAUCCUUGCCGGAAAUGAGAGACAAGCAGAGGUGAAAGCCUAGGGCGGCGUUCUAGCGUUAAUCACAACACCUUUGGGAGCAAAUAUUAGCACAUCAAUUGAACACAGUGAGUGAGAGGAGCUGGGAAACAUCCACCUACUCUUCGGCAUAGCAUUCUCAGCAACAUUUUCCUCCUCCAGCUCUAAACUCUUAACACAUAGGGUGUCUA
Molecule: long non-coding RNA, 922 nt
Organism: Hirundo rustica (Barn swallow)
Lineage: Eukaryota; Metazoa; Chordata; Aves; Passeriformes; Hirundinidae
Exons: 4
Source: RefSeq, a predicted model, not a curated record